Arvicola amphibius (Eurasian water vole) is the source of this 6216-nucleotide long non-coding RNA. RefSeq lists it as uncharacterized. NCBI's taxonomy places the organism in Eukaryota, Metazoa, Chordata, Mammalia, Rodentia, Cricetidae. The transcript has 5 exons. The record is from RefSeq and is a predicted model, not a curated record.
CCUUGUUUUCUCAGAAAGCAGAGCUGGGCUGAGCUACAGUAAAGAACAGGGAAAAGAGCAACAGAGCUGAAUAUUGGCUUCCACGCUUCCCCGGCAUGACAGGCUUGGCCACCCAACAGUGACCAGGGCUGUUGCUGGCAACGGCUCUGGGUGAAUGGGAAGAAGGAUAGGCAACCAAAACAAGACCAACCAGCUGGGUGGAUUGCCAUCCAAUCAUAAUGGCCUGAGUUCUGAUCUCCACUUAAACAAUCAGCAUGGUGGUGAGCAUCAGUCAACAGCCCUAAGCAGGGAGAGAAUAGGCCAACUCUGAUAACUCAAGGGCCAACCAGUGUAGUGGAUCAGGGAGCUUCAGAUACAGCAAGAUGGCCUGUUUCAAAAGCUGAGGUGGAGAUCCUGAAACUGACUGAAUAAAGAUGCAUGAAGCCACACACUGAGCCUGAUUCCAGGGACCUGCGAAGUGGGAGACAGCUGACGCCCACAGCCUGACUUGCACCAGCUCCCCCGUUCCUCUGCUUUCCUCUCCCAUGCUGGGAUUACAGGUUGCCUUCUUCCACACCUCCUUCUCCGUGAAUCCUGUGGUCCUCAGGAAGUUGGCUGUAUGCUGACCUUUGGUGAGCCGGUGAGCCCUGUGCAGCAAAGGUGAGAGAGGGAGCUGCUGGUGGGUAAGGCCUACUGCAGACGCAGACACGGGGAGCAAAGGUCGGGGGUGUGUUUGGUUUGUUUAAGCGUGAGUCAGAGGAGUGGGGGGUCAAUCUCAGGUCUCUGAUUUCCAAUUUCCUGUGCAAGCCACUGAACGCAUAGUGCCCCGUCCCAGCAGGUUUUUAUGCUGCCGCUUUUUGGAACAAAGGUAGAUACUGUACAAGGCCACACACACAAAUAACCCAGUCAGGUCACCGCUUCCUUCUCAAAGGGAGACAUCUGUGGAACCCAGAGUCUGCAAGAAACCAAACUCUAAGGGAGGCAGGGGGAAAGCCGAACACUGCCUGGCUUCUUGGUCAUCAGAGGCCCUAAGUAUUCCCUCCCUACUUACUAUUCCGUAGGAGGCCUGGGCCCUGGGCCAGUCCCCACAGGCCUGUGGUCAGGGGCUAGCCAUUCCUUCAGGACAGCCCUGCAGCUCAGGCUCCAGGCUGGAGGACACAGGGAUUGACCGUGAGUGAGAACAAGGCUCCUAGGUCACUGCAUGCUCUCCUGCAGCAGGCUGGCCCAUGAAGGACCUUCCUCCUAUUUUCCUGGAAUUUCCUCAAGGCUUAGACUAAACCCCAAGAGAGGGUGGGUCUACACCUCAGUAGCUUCCUGGGAACAAGGAGGCUCUAGGGAGAGUAGAGGCCAGCUUCUAGCAGGAUCCGGGAACCAAAAGGGACAUAUUUCUACAGGACACCUUAGACAGACAUUGUCUGCCAAAGCACACAGCCAGCGAAGCCUCGCCCUCUGAGGAGAGCAUCGUCUCUAAAGGGUCUCUGCCAGUCUGGAGGGGCACACUUUGGGGUGUCUCAUAAACUCAGUCAGGGUUAUGCUGAAUAUACUCAGCUGGUCCAAUGAGUAUGGGAGUGGGACCCUGCGCUCCCCCUAAUUGACAGAGGAAACAACUCCUGCUACCUCAACUCAGCAGGUGUCACCCAGAAACUCCAGGGCUUUCGAAGCUCAGAGACCACAGAAUCUAAUGAGUCCACGAUUCUUCUCUUCUGCUUUCAGAACAGAAAAGUCAUUGGCCCUUGUUUGAGCCUCUGUUUCCUCAUCUGUUGAAUGGGCACAGCUCUAACCACCUCAUCAGUUGAUUGGGAGGAUGAGAUAAACCUGCCUCAUGGGUCAGCACCAGUCUGCAGGAGAAUGGCUCUGGAAGGGACCCAAAAACACUGGGGUGGGAGUGGGGUGGACGGAGGAGAUGAAUGUGGGCCUGGGCAGGAGCAUGGCAUCUUUCUAGGCAGGGACAGGGCUGUCUGCCACAGGUCUGCUAGCCAGCUUCCCUCCAAGGGGACCUGGUCUCAGCCCCAAGGCAGGCUCCACUCCAAAUCCCUCUCCUCCUCCCUCCUCCUCUUUCUCAUGGGACUCUUUGACCCCGGGAACCCCUGAGCACCUGUCUCCUCCAGUCUCCACUGCUGGAGACAGGAAACAACUUAGAUUCCUCUGUCUCUGGGCCUUUGCCCCCACUCAUCCCUGUGCCCUGAGAGGGGCAGAAGGGCCAGCUGUCUAGAGGAGAUUUAUCACUAACAUUGUUUGGAAUUUCUAGUGCUUGGCAGUCUGAAGUCUAAAGUGCAGUGUGGCCUUGAGCCUGGGUUGUUGUUGUCUUCUGUACUCUGGGGGACCACAUGGGUCUCAUCUGCCCACUAUACCCACCUCUGUGGUUCUCCUAGGCAACCCUCUCCCCUCUCUUCUAAUGCCCUAAGCACAGAAGGUGAUUGGCUCUCUUGCUCACGUCUCCAUGAGUCACCCAUAGUGUGUGGCAAGGGUCCUUGGGCCUGCUUUCUUCUCACAGUUUCUUCUGUUUUUGCAGAGUACUGGAUUUAAUGAGGAAGUGCUGUCAGCAGAAGAGAAAAGAAAGCCUUAGCCAACACCCCAUCCAGGCAACCAGUCCCAAGUCCUUUCCCUGGGAGGUGUGAGGCCAGGGAGUGCAGACCGGUCACCUUAGCUCUUCCAGAAGAGCUGAAGUAGGAGGAUACUGAGUUCAAAGACAAGAUAAAGCCUUGUCUCAGAAUUUAAAAAUAAAAGAUACAGACACACAGAGAGAGAGACACACACACACACACAUACACUCACAGAAAGAGACACACACAGAGACACACAGACACACACUUCUUUGGCUCUAGUCCUUAAAAGUCCUUGAAGGCCCUGUUUUUUAUCAGUCCCCAGUAAAACACGCACGCACACACACACACACACACACAUGCACACACAUUGGGCGGGAGGGGGGCCUCUUUGACUCUGGUUCUUGAAGAGAGGCUCUGUAGAAAUUUCUAGAAAGAAGAGGCAGAGACUAUAUUGCACACCGCAAUAUAUAUGACACCAAUCCUGAUGGCAGGCUGCUCCUGGGUCUACUGUACACCGUAUCCACACCAACCUCUCUCAUCUGCUCCCUUGUUGGAUAUCAAGGCAACCUAUAAGCUUGGCUUGUUUGGAUUUUUUUUAUCUACUCUUAUUUCACAGCCGAGGAAACUGAGGCCAGAGACGUCUGAGGUCAGAGCCACUGAUCUCCCAUCCUCCACCCCAGAGGUGCUCACUGGGCCUUAUGCCAGUCAUGAUGCCUUCCUACUUAGGAUGUCACCACACCUAGUCGAUGAAGAACUGCCACCUGCUCGGACAGCGGGAGACCAGCCCUUUGAACGCAAGCCCGCAUCCAAACUCGGGGUUAAUGAUAAAGCCUACUAACGUAAGGACUGGCCUGCCCUCCCCUCUUUAUCAACAUGUGACUUAGAUUUGAGUGCCAAGCCAACCCUCUCCAGAGCCACAUCCUCGGCAGUGACUUAUUAAAGGGUAAAUCAAAGUUUGCUGGAAGAGAAGAGUAAAUACCCACACUCCGCAUGCCAGGCUGGUCCUGAGCCCACUUCCUGGUUCCACUGUUGACUUGGGCUGUAAUCCUAGAUAAGUGAAUACAUUCACUGCCCUGGGCCCGGGAGAGAGGCCAGGAUGGAGCCUGCCCCACCCCUUCACACACACACACACACACACACACACACACACACACACACACACCUGGCAAGAUGCCGGCUCUCGUGGUUCGCCUCGGAGAGGAAAACCUCAGACAAAAGCCAGGCAGGUGCAGAGCUCCGCGUACAGCCGCUUGUCCUUGUGCCUGACUGUGGAGAAGUGGGUCACAUCACCAAUAGAACCCGACCAUCCUUUGGCUCUGAGCUCACCCAUAAUUAGCGGGACCGAGGAGAGAAGAGCUGCUUGCACUUUGGGCCUCAGAUGGCAGGGCAAGAAUCAGAGCAACGUUGACAAGAGUCAACUGUAAUCACACAGUGAGCGUGUUCAAAGAAACAAAUAAAAAUAGCCAGAAGUGGGUCAGCAUUUACAGGAAGGUCGCAGGCAGGAAACUGGGACAGACUUCAAGUCCCACAUGGAGGGAGAGAAGUUGUGUUUUGUGAAUACAAACUUGUGCUAUCUUUGGGUUCUUGCCCCCCUGCUGCUGCUUCCCCCUUCCAUGUCUUCUGGCAGAAAGCAGAAGAGAAUCACCCAUCCUGAGUGAUCUACUUGGGUCCCAGAAGGCUGAAUUUGGAUCUCUUCAGGGCACUAUUCACACCAAGACCAUGAGGUACACGUAUCCACACAUGCACACUUAUACAAAUGACCAGCGUCUCCUGUCAUUGCUUCUCAGGUCUGUGGCAUCCAGUGUGCUACACACACGGGAAGCAUGCAAGAAUGCGUAUAUACAUAUGAAGCUCACAGAGCACACACAAACAAAGCACAUGCAUAUAGCACACCUUCCUACAUGUUCUGAAUACAUGCUCAUGUAUGCAUACAGGGACACCCAAUGGACACACGCAGUCACAGUAGUAGGCACAGUAUCUAUUCACACAUGUGGUAAGUAUGCAUUCAUGCCAUGUAAACACAUGAAACCCAUGUACACAUAUCCAAUACAGUUAGGACUCUGUAAGUUCUUUGGCCAUGGAAUUAAGCAACUUCAAAUGGGGGGAUAUUUAUGUCUUUACUAUAGGCUUUUUUCUCUUGCUGCAGUUCCUAAAACAAUAUAGUAUAAUAGCCAUUAUUUGUCCUUUACACUGUUAGGUACAGUAAAACUAGAGGUGAUUGGUUUGCAAGAGGAUAUGACUAUCAUAUGCAAACAUACCAUUUUAUAUCAGAGACAAGAAUCUGCAGAUCCCAAAACUGGUCUCCUGUGGGUCCCAGAAGCCCCUGUACUCCUGAGCAUGCCCAGUGUGCAUCGUGGACCUUAUCUGCACACACAGUAGGCCUGCAUCCCUCCCGCCCUCUCUGUAACAUUAAGACUCUGGCAGUUGUUAACUUUCGCUCUUGGCAGGGUUGCACUUCCUGGUGGCGUUAGUGACGCGAUGAAUCAGAUUGAUCCGGCAUGUGAGGGAGGGGCAUGCAAUCAUUCCAGCUCUGGGUUUCAGGUUCCGGGUGCUCAGGACCAGCAAGGAGGAGCUGGCAGUAUGGCGUGCUUUGGUGAGAGUUAGGCACGCUUGUUACUUUUCUGGAGUCUUGAAAUACAUACCGCUUCCAAAUGUUGCCUUUAAAAGGAGUUCUGGGCCUCUGCCCAGCGGCAUAAAGAACACAUAUGUGCAUGGAAGGAAGCGUGUUCACCACGUGGAGCAAAGCAUGCAGAGACCAUGAAUGCAGAGGGUUGGGGUGUGGAAGCUCUCUGUCCUUUCACUGUCUCUCCUUCAUGCUGGAAAGAGGGACAGUCACCCAGAGGCAGGUUCACGGGCUGUCUAUGGGUCACGGGAGAAGCAGCCUCUCUCUGGGGAUUAACUGAGCUGCAAAAUGUUUGGGGCUCAGGCAGCCCCACACCUCUACCCAACAGAGCCUUCCUUGUGUGGUGAGGGGGCUCCAGCCCAGGAAUAGGAGCUGUUUCCAGUUAUCCUGAAACUCCAGAGGUGCUGGAGCAUUUGCCCUCACGGGGAGAAGACGAAGGUUCCAGAAAGGCGUGAUGGGUUUCCCUUGUGCCCUUGGCCUCAGACUCCAGUGAUGGCGUGGAGGUGUCGGAGGGCGUCUUUAAAAUAUUGCAUCAUUUAAAAAGAUUUACCUCUUUAUAUGUCUAGCCUGGAAAGCAGAUUAACCAAACACAGACCCAUGUGGGAGUAGGCUCAGCAAAAAAUGAUUGUGCCAGACCCAACAACCGUGCUUGAUAGCCAUCUCCCUCCUUAACUUCUGGCCUGGACAGGGGCCACUUGACGCUGUUCACGCAUUUGCCUGUAAACGGCAUCUGUGAACCCUCGCCUUGCCUGAAGCAUCCGCCCGUGCGAGUCAGGCCUGCAGCUAACACGGGGCUUCUGGAAGGUCUACCAGGGCUGGAAUGCUACAACAGACACUCUGAAGCUUUUGUGUGGCCCCACAUGGAAAAACAAAUUCUAAAGGAGACAGCAAGACAACACAGUGGGUAAAGACGCUCGCCACCAAACUCGCCAGCUUGAGUGUGUGAGCCGCAGGAACUGCACGGCGAAGGAAGCGCACAGACUCCCACAAGCUGUUCCCAGCCCUCCACACAUUAGCCGAAGCACAUACACCACACACAAACAAAUAAAUGCAAUUUAAUCUUUUUAA